UAAAAAUCUAUGAAGUGGAAAGUAGCAUGUCGAUUUUUUAAGCGAGCUGAUAUUUUGGUGAAAGUUCAGUAUUAAGACAUAUGUGAAAUAGAGCCAUGGAGAUGAAUUAUCCGCUUAACGCGUUAAAAUUUUUAAGGUGGACUUUUAUUAAUAAGGUCAAUCAGAGUGGUACCGCGAAAUAUAAUCGUCUCUGCA
This 195-nucleotide non-coding RNA is filed under the name Clostridium acetobutylicum. RNAcentral describes it as "T-box sequence". It matches the Rfam family "T-box leader". Rfam says of the family: Uncharged tRNA acts as the effector for transcription antitermination of genes in the T-box leader family. Lineage: Bacteria; Bacillati; Bacillota; Clostridia; Eubacteriales; Clostridiaceae. The record is from RNAcentral.